RNAcentral lists this ribosomal RNA (274 nucleotides) under uncultured bacterium. RNAcentral describes it as "partial 16S ribosomal RNA". It matches the Rfam family "Bacterial small subunit ribosomal RNA", at positions 523 to 796 of the family's 1533-position model. The record is from RNAcentral.
AUACGGAGGGUGCAAGCGUUAAUCGGAAUUACUGGGCGUAAAGCGUACGUAGGCGGUUCGUUAAGUUAGAUGUGAAAGCCCCGGGCUUAACCUGGGAACUGCAUUUAAAACUGGCGAACUAGAGUUGAGUAGAGGGGAGUGGAAUUUCAGGUGUAGCGGUGAAAUGCGUAGAGAUCUGAAGGAACACCAGUGGCGAAGGCGACUCCCUGGACUCGAACUGAUGCUGAGGUACGAAAGCGUGGGUAGCAAACGGGAUUAGAAACCCUAGUAGUCC